Molecule: ribosomal RNA, 253 nt
Filed under: uncultured bacterium
Lineage: Bacteria
Description: partial 16S ribosomal RNA
Rfam family: Bacterial small subunit ribosomal RNA
Source: RNAcentral
UACGAAGGGGGCUAGCGUUGUUCGGAAUCACUGGGCGUAAAGCGCACGUAGGCGGAUCCUUAAGUCAGGGGUGAAAUGCCGAGGCUCAACCUCGGAACUGCCUUUGAUACUGGGGAUCUCGAGUCCGGGAGAGGUGAGUGGAAUUGCGAGUGUAGAGGUGAAAUUCGUAGAUAUUCGCAAGAACACCAGAGGCGAAGGCGGCUCACUGGCCCGGUACUGACGCUGAGGUGCGAAAGCGUGGGGAGCAAACAGG